UCUUGCCUCUGAAACCCGUCUCCAUUUAAUUGACCUCCCUCCUAUUGAUAACCCUCCACCCCAUGAUCUCUUCCUCAAAUCCGCAGAACACUACAUACUGCUUUUCAUUGAAAGCUACAUCCCUCACGUCAAAGACGCCAUCACCCACCUCAUGUCAUCUCGCUCUUCCCCAGACUCAGUCCCACUCGCCGGGUUAGUCCUUGAUUUCUUCUGUCUUCCCAUGAUUGAUGUGGCCAACCAACUAGGCCUCCCUUCGUACCUAUACUUCACCUCUGGUGCUGGUUUUCUUGGCCUCAUGCUCUCCCUCCCAACUCGCCAUAGCCAAAUCGGCACUGAGUUUGAAGACUCGGAUCCUGAUCUGGAGCUCCGGAGUUUCGUCAACCCAGUUCCUGUUCGCGUUUUGCCUGAAGCCGUGAGUGACAAGCAUGGUGGUUACGCUGCUUACAUAAAGAUUGCUCAGAGGUUCAGAGAGGCUAGGGGCAUUAUAGUAAAUACGUUUUCUGAGUUGGAGCCUUACGCCGUUGAGUCGUUCGCCGAUGGUCAGACCCCCCCGGUGUACACGGUGGGACCGGUUCUUGACCUCGGGGGUCAGGCUCAUGCCGGUUCAGACCGGGUUGACCGCAGUAAGAUCAUGGGGUGGUUAGACGCUCAGCCAAAAUUGUCUGUGGUGUUCCUCUGCUUUGGAAGCAUAGGGGCCUUCGACGCGCCCCAGGUGAGGGAGAUCGCGCUUGGGCUCGAGCGCAGCGGCCACAGGUUCCUCUGGGCCCUGCGUCUGCCGGGGCCGGAUGGCAAACUCGGUGGAAGCUCUGAUGGCUCGGAACUCAGCGAGAUCUUGCCUGAGGGGUUCCUGGAUCGAAUCGGAGAGAGGGGAAUGAUCUGCGGUUGGGCACCGCAAAUGGAAGUCCUGGCCCACAAAGCUAUAGGAGGGUUCGUAUCCCACUGCGGGUGGAACUCCAUCUUAGAGAGCAUAUGGAACAGUGUACCGAUGGCGACCUGGCCCAUGUAUGCAGAACAACAGCUGAAUGCCUUUGGACUGGUGAAGGAACUGGGAUUAGCAGUGGAAUUGAGACUGGACUAUCGACAGAGUGGGGGAGAAGUGGUAGUGGCGGAAGAGAUAGAUGGUGCAAUAAGAUGUGUGAUGGAGCAUGAUAGCAUGGUGAGGAAGAAGGUGAAGGAAAUGGGAGAGAUGAGCAGGAGGGCUGUGAUGGACGGUGGAUCUUCCUCCAAUUCCCUUGGACGGCUGAUAGCUGAUAUCAUCCCCAUUGACUAGUGUAUCGCUUAAUCUGAUCGUGUGGUUUUUCUCCUUACCUUGAGAAUUCACUGUUAAAUGGUUGAGUUGACUGGGGGUUGGGCAUUGCGAGCCAUGUACGAAUGUGGUCCACCGUCCACCAUACGGUCCAUACCACAGUUAUAUAUUAGAUAUUAUGAGGAUGAACUGUCAAGUCAUCAUUUUAUCUUAUCAAUUCUGAUUUAAGGAGUUCCAACUUCCAAGUGGGUAUGACUCCCAAGUAUAUUGGACUUGAUAAAAAUAUAAAUUGGGGUGGAUAGAACAAAAGAUUGCGUCGUGCAUGCUGAAAUCACGAAAUUGAUAUAAAUAUUUGUAUUUCUUUGCCGAUAUUAUCAAGACUAGAAGGUUAUUUAGACUUUGUUUUGCUCUAUAUUUAAAAUUCAAUACGACAUAUUCAUAGUCCAUUCCUGGUUUUGAUAUUGAUACCUCGACGAGAACAAGCAGCUAUCAUAAUACUUUUAUCUUUGAUUGUAGUUAAUUACAAGGCUAUAUUGGCAUAUGUCAUCCAAAAAUCUUAAUCACAUACUCUGUGUGCAUAUGCAUCUUCGUUGGUUAUUUGAUCCGCUUAAAAAUGUGUUAAGAUUUUAUUUUUUCAAAUAUUGUAGCGUAUGUGUUGGGAAUUUCGUUUUCUUCGGUUGACGAAACAGCAUUGCAUUGCCCUGUUUUGAAUAACAAAGAUAAUGUCCACCAAAAACAGGAGCAGAGAAAAUUAGUAGAAGGAAAAAACGGUGGUCGGAACAAGGAUUUUUUAUAAGAUUAUGGUAGUUUUAAAAAAUAAAUUUUAAAUUAUCGUUAUAUGAAAAAUAAUUCUAAAUCUAUCGUAAUUUUGUCAAAAUAGGAAAUAGAAAAUAAUUUGUAAAUGAAAAAACAUUUCUUCAAAAAACGAUUUAUGUAUCUUGAAAAGACGAUUUUCACUAAAAAAAAUUAAAAAGUGAGAAAUCGUCUUUUUAAAAGACGAUUUCAAAAAAAAAAAAUCAAGUGAGAAAUCUUCUCUUAAAGAGACGAUUUCCAUAAAAAAAAAUUGUGUAUGUGAGAAAUUCUCACUUAAAAGAAAAAAAAAAUCAAAUGAGAAAUCGUUUCUUGAAGAGAUGAUUUUCACACAAAAGUGAGAAAUUUUCACUUAAAAUAAUAAUAAUAAUAAUAAUAAUAAAUAAAAAAAGUCCAAGUGGAAAAUCGUCUCUUCAAGAGACGAUUUCCAUAUCACUUUUAAAAGUUAGAAAUUCUCACUUAAAAUAAAAAUAAAAACCCCUUCAAAAAUCCAUUUUUUCAUUCUUUAUUCUAUUUAUACCAUAAUACAAUUAUUAUAAAUAUAUAUUAUAAAAUUAAUUAAUUUUAUUUACUAAAUUGAAUAUAAGAUAAAUAAUCUAUUAUUUUUUUUCUUACUUUGAAAUUUAAAAAAAAGACUAUUAUCAAUUUAUGUGAAAAAUAAGUUUUAAAAACAAUUGUUAUUAAUUUAUUAAAUAAUUAUUUAGUAUAUUAUUUUAAAAAAACCAAAGGGGAAAUCAUCUCUUGAGACAAUUUCCACAUCAUCUUUAAAAAUGAGAAAUUCUCAGUUUUUUUUUUUAAAAAUCCUUCAAAAAUCCUUUUUUUCAUUCUUUAUUCUAUUUAUAUAAUAAUACAAUUAUUAUUUACUCUUAUAAAAAAUCCGAUGGAACAAGAGGAUGCAUGGCAAUUCCAAACCCCUGUCUAGUCUCUCUUCCACGUUCCCACUCCCUCCCAACCCCAAACCCUAACUCCAUAACCCUUAAUAACGACCGAUAUUUCGCCAACCACCCGACACUUUCACUCAUCGACCAAUGCUCCGAAACGAAACAAUUGAAGCAAAUCCAUGCCCAGAUGCUCCCUACUGGUCCCUUCUUCGACCCCUUCUCCACCAGUAGACUCAUCACCGCCGCCGUUCUUUCCCCCUUCCCCAGCCUCGAUUAUGCCCAGCAAGUGUUCGACCAAAUUCCCCACCGAAAUCUCUACACUUGGAACACUCUCAUUCGCGCUUAUGCUUCCAGUUCUAAUCCCCAUCAGAGCCUCUUAAUCUUCAUACGAAUGCUUCAUUAAUCUCCUGAUUUUUCUGACAAAUUCACUUUACCUUUUCUGAUCAAAGUCGCGUCGGAACUUGAGGAGUUGUUUACAGGGAAGGCUUUUCAUGGAAUGGUGAUUAAGGUGUUGUUGGGUUCGGACGUCUUCAUUCUUAAUUCUCCGAUUCAUUUUUACGCCAAGUGUGGAGAGUUGGGUUUGGGGUAUAGGGUUUUUGUGAAUAUGCCUAGGAGGAAUGUUGUUUCUUGGAAUUCGAUGAUUACAACUUUUGUGCAGGGGGUUGUCCGGAGGAGGCAUUGGAGUUGUUUCGGGAAAUGGAGAGGCAGAAUGUGAAACCUAAUGGCAUAACAAUGGUGGGGGUUUUGGCAGCUUGUUCCAAGAAGUCGGAUUUUGAGUUUGGGAGGUGGGUGCAUUCGUAUAUUGAGAGGAACAGGAUUGGUGGGAGCUUGACUUUGAUUAAUGCUAUGCUUGAUAUGUAUACAAAGUGUGGGAGUGUUGAGGAUGCAAAAAGAUUGUUUGAUAAGAUGUCACAGAAGGAUAUUGUCUCAUGGACGACUAUGCUUAUUGGGUAUGCUAAAAUAGGGGAGUAUGAUGCGGCUCAGGGUAUUUUUGAUGCAAUGCCUAAUCAAGAUACCGCUGCAUGGAAUGCUCUCAUAAUUGCUUAUGAACAGUGUGGUAAGCCAAAUGAGGCUUUGUAGCUUUUCCAUGAAUUGCAGCUGAGCAAAACUGCAAAGCCUGAUGAGGUCACUCUUGUUAACACACUUUCGGCUUGUGCUCAGCUGGGAGCAAUGGAUUUAGGUGGAUGGAUCCAUGUGUACAUAAGGAAGCAUGGAAUGAAGUUAAACUGCCAUCUCAUUACCUCACUUAUUGACAUGUACUGUAAGUGCGGGGAUCUGUAGAAGACACUUGUGGUAUUUCAUUAAGUGGAAAUGAAAGAUGUGUUUGUUUGGAGUGCCAUGAUUGCAGGUUUGGUAAUGCAUGGGCAUGGGAAGGAUGCAAUAGAUUUGUUUUCAAAAAUGCAAGAGGCUUAGGUCAAGCCCAAUGCUGUGACUUUUACUAAUAUACUAUGUGCUUGUAGCCACGCGGGAUUAGUGGAGGAAGGCAGGACUUUCUUCAAUCAAAUGGAGCUGGUUUAUGGGGUUUUGCCUGGAGUCGAGCAUUAUGCUUGUAUGAUUGAUAUUCUUGGUCAAGCAAACCUGUUGGAAGAAGCUGUGGAAUUGACAGAGAAAAUGCCAAUGGCCCCAACUGCUUCUAUAUAGGGGGCCCUGCUUGGAGCCUGUAUUCAUCCUGAUUCCACAACAGCACAUCUACGAGUUUAGCGUUCAUCGUAUCUUCCCAAUCCAGAGCCAUACCAAAUUGUGUAGAAACCCAUCCAUCCCUAGUUAGCUCUACUCAUCUCGGGCUCCUUUAGAAUGCUUCUUCUACUCAUUUCUCGGAAUUGAAGCCUCUAUAUAGAACCCAUUCAUGUCCUGAGUAGCAACAACCAGUAGUUGCAUCUUUAUCAGGUCUCAUUGUCGUCUUUCUCAUUUCUGUGUUCGCAUGGCUUGUGUGGGGGGUAUCCCUCCACAUGUCAUUCUCAAACUUAAGACCCCUUAGCUGACCAGGACAAAACACAUAACCCAUUUGGGAUCACCUCGUUUGGACCAAGAUAAAUUCUGUUUAACACCAGAAGUGAGAUGUUUCCUUUCUUCCACAAGCCCAAACAUAAUAGACAGGCUGGGCUCAUUAGACUCUUAGACGGGAAAAUUAAUCCAGUCAAGUCCUCAAGAUUUCUGGCAUGCGUGAUCAACCACGCCUGAUGUUUAAGCACCAGCCCAGACACCUGACAUUUGAGUGGCGGACAGGACUCUAUUUAUACCCAAUAGUCAAUGUCAAUUAAUUGUUACAUAUAAUCCCAUACAUUGGUAGGCUAAAUGGAUAGUUAGCUACAUAGUUCGAGAUUUUGGCAUGUUAGCAGUUGGCACCAAUUAGCCGCCCUUAUCUGAUAUGAUUGGCUAGCGGCCCUAAGGGCAAUCAUCAUUAUAAGAAACGCUAGAGUGCAUAGUCAACACUACAGUAACGGUGUCAUAAGCUCUAUAUAAACCCCUCAAAAAGCAUUAAUAAGGCACACACGCAUAUACGCUCAUUCUCUCACACAAAAUAGUUAGAGUUAUCCUUGUCUGACUUAAGCUUCAAAGGGGUCUGUCUGGACCACCCAUCCGGACAUCCUUUUGUGCAGGGAAGAAGUCUAUCUGAUUCUAGUGCAGUUGGACGAACUCCUCAAAAACCAUGAAGAAGGGAAGAAGUCUGCCUAACUCCAGUGAAGUCUGAUGAACUUGACUCUGGUUGGCUCGACACCAAUAGCAUUCAUGGCCACCCCAAAGCCUAUCCACAACCCUCCACCAAAAUACCUCAUCUAUCAAAUUUGAAUCUCAAGCCACAUAACUCCGCACCUACUCUAUGCCUAAAAAAAAAAAACACCUUAUAGCCAAUUCACCAUUGCCUCGAUCCUUUGUACCCAUCGAAUUGAUCACCACACCACACUCGACUUAUCCUUCAUACCAUACUCACCACCAUCAACCUAACCCACAUUGCCCACCAAGCACUCCUCAUUUUCCACACAACACUGGCUACUGUUUAACAUGACAUUAUUACCGAUUGAGAGACUUCCAGUAAAUCUCCAAUUGAUUUUGGUUUGGACGAAGGCUACUAAUCUAGACCCGAAAACCAUCUUUGUUGAUUGUUCCUUGCGCUUCGGUGGGUCUCUAGAGUUUAGAUGAAGCUGGAAAACUGGUGAAGCAAGGGGUGCUUAAGCCUGAGGAUUUCAUAUUCUUUGUUGGAUAUGUUGGGUGGCAGUUGGAUCAGUUGAGAGAGGAGAUGGGAUCAGACUAUGGGUAUGUGGCUGCAUAUAGCCCAUACGUGAUCGAUGGGGUCUUAACAGAGUCUUCCUCUGGUGUAUGGGAUGAGGUUUUUGUAGUCAAAAGGGAAAUCAUUAUUUUGAACUGAACCCGAUGCCUAAGCAGGAUAUGUAGUCAGUUUUGAGCCUACAGAAUUUAAGAAAUUGCUCGCCAAUCGGGGAGGAUAUUACGUCAACUUGUGAUGAUAGAAGCUUGGAUUCUCAUGUGGCACAAGGAGAGAAGACAAAAUGAAUGAUCAAACUCAAAAGGACAAGCCCUUGUUCCUGCCAACUUAUCUCUAUCUUUGGGACCCAUUCUCUCUCUCUAGCAUGGCAUGCAUGGCCACUCUAAAAGCCUACGCGUCUCACUCCUUAUAUUUUCAUGCAUGCCUUCAAAAACUGAUUUUCAAAAAUCUUGUUUUGAAAUAAUUUUAAUUCUUCAAUUUUUCUUUCUUGAUUUUAAAUAAAUCCAAUUUUAAUAAAUCAAUAGCUACCAUUUUCCACUAGGCAUGCAUUUUUUUUUCCUUGAUUUUUAAUAAUUUUCAAUUUUCAUGUUUUGAAUGAGCAUGAAUAAAAUUCUAUAAUUCAAAAUAAUGGAAUUUAUGAAAUUAAUUCAUGCUAAAAUAAAUCGGGCUUUGGCGGGGCCCAACAUAUGGGAUUUUCUCGUUCGUUGAUUGAUUGCUGUGCUUGAUUGACUUGCUUUGCUUUGUGACAUAUGCGAUUAUUCUGUAUUCGUUUACUAACCUUUGUUUUCCAUGAAGCAAUCAACUCACUACUCAAGUACACACAUUGAUUUUCUUAUUCAUUUGAUUAUUUUUAGAUUGAUAUUAUUUUAAUAUCCAUAUUUAAUCUAUCAAUUACCACACUUGCUUUAACUUAAUUAGUAGAGACCUAAUUCUUAGGACUAAGAGGGGUGUUAUGGCCUAUCACUAUACCUUCCCAAUAGGUAACCUGACUCCUAAACCCAUACUCAGUUUUUCACAGACCUAUUUUUCCUUUAGGAGUCACAUUUAAGGGUUUUCUUUCUUAUUUUGUUUUUCCCUUUUAAAAUAAAACAAAAAUAAGUGGUGACUCCAAAAACUUUUAAAAAAUCAAUUUUAAAAAUAACAAGCAAGUCUCGCCAUAAUGGAAACGCAUGCGUAGAAACGCGGGGUCCCUCCCGGCGCACACUUACAUAUAUAUUAUGUAAUGACCAAAUUAAUUUUGGGGGUAAAAUACCAAAAAAAAGUAAUUAAAUAUUUUUAGUAAGGGUAGAAAGGUCAUUUUAUAAUUAACAAUCCUAGGUAUAAAUUAUAUUUCUUUUUCUUUUUUGUCUUUUCUAUUUAGAAAACUUUACUAACAAAAAAUAAAAAAAUUGUAGAACAUAAGACUGAAGGUUUGAAGGUCGCAUUUUUUCAGGUAAAAUUUUAAUCCCUAAAUUAAUAUAUUAGAUUCGUUAGUUAGUUUUGAACACAUUCAAUAUUCUUUAGAAAUUUUCAAUUUAGACCAAAGCCAAUUUAUUUAAUUUUUCUUUUAAGAUCAAAAUAUUGAAAAAUUAAGAGUAUGGGUUGAUUUAUCGAUGAAAAUUGAGAAAUUUUGAAAGUCAGGAAAUUUUAAGUUUUCAGAUGAAUAAACCUAAAAUAAAAUAAAAUAAUAAUAAUAAUAAUUUGUGACUUAAUGCACGCUAGAAGUGUGUUAAUAUAAUUUAUAUACUUAUAAAGGCUUUGAUGCACUGUACAUUUGGGGGUAAUUUGGAGAAAGAAAAUAAUAAAUAAAUAAAAUAAAAACUAUUUUGCAGGAAAGUGAUUUUAGUGGAAGGCACAACUUUUAUGAAAAUUCGGGAGACUCACUCUUUAAAUUAUUAUUGAUUAGAAAGUCAAAAACAAUAUAGAUGAUAAAAGAAAUAGUCAACAUAGGAUUUUUUUUUAUUUCAAUACUUAAAUAAUUACUUUCAUCAAAAUUAUUAAUUUUUUUAUUUAUAUAAUUUUGAUAUUUAUUACAGAUAAAACAUAAAUAUUUAAUUCAUUUUAAAUUUUGCAAAUAUAUAUACAUACACACGGGGGUUGAAGAGAUGGGCUUGGGCUUAAUGAUUUGGGCUAACAACUAAGUUUUGGAAAAAGGGGGAAAUAAUAGGUUGGACCGAUAGUUGGGCUAAUUCAAUGCUUGUUCAACUCAGUUUUGGGAGGCUCCAAUCGAUGGUCCAAUUGGUUGAACUCAAUUCAAUUCGAUUUUUUAAGUUUGGUAAACACCAAUUGGUGUAUUGGAACGAGGAGGAAAACCUUAGCUCCAUUACACUCAAUAUUCAUCGAUAUUUUGCGAAUCGCUGGAUACUAUCACUCCUCAACCGAUGCUUGGAAAGGAAACAAUUGAAUAUUCUUCCUCGAUCUCCUCUUUUUAAUAUUAGUUGAUCCGUUAUAAGUUUCUUAACUUGGAUUGGAUUUUUAAUUUUUAAUUAUUUUUAAAAAUUAGUAAAUUUUAUGUAUCAAAUAUGCUUUGAUUUAAAUUUAUUUAUCUAAUAAAAAAAUAGAAAAGUUAAAAAAUAAGAAAAAAUUAUUUUAGAGAGAUCAUAAUUGAGUUACUUUAUCUAUUUUUUAUUUAUUUAUAAUUUUUGUUAAAAUUAAUAAAUUAUACCUUGAUAGUUUUCUUUGAUUUUUAAAAUAAGUGAAAUAGGUAAAAAACUUGUUAGUUUCUUGUUGGAGGCUUUUUUUUUUUUUUUUAUUCAUAACUAAAUAAAAUUGUAUUUAUAUUGAAUUUUGGAGGAUAACAAUUUAGUAAUGGGAGAUUAAGUAGUGAUAUUUUAUAUUAUUAAAAUAUAUAAUUUAUAAUAAAUAAAAAUAAUAUAUUAUUUAAUUUCAUAUUCUUUUUUUUUUAUAUCAAUAGUAUUUUAAAAUAUAGAAUAAUAAUUUUUAGUUUUUAAUCAAUCAUUUAAUAAAAAUUAAUUCUUAUGAUAUAAGGAAGCUGAGUAUAUUUUGAAUUCUAAUUUUAUUAUAUUAGAUAACUAAAAACAAAAUAAUUAAUUUCAAUAUAAAUCAAUUAAAAAUUGCAUUUUGAUUUAGUGUAAUUCUCAUAAAUAAAUUAAAAUAGAUUUUUAUUUAAAAUAUUUAUUUACUACAUGAAAGAACUAAGGAUAAAAAAUUUACUAACAAAAAUUCUUAUUUUAUAAAAUGGAUAAAUAUGAAAUAAAAAAGUUAUUAAAUUGUUAAAAUAAAUUUAUUAAAUUUGAAUUUUAUAAAUUAAUUGAAAUUGAUAUUUUAUAAUUUUGAUUUUACUGUAUCAAGGAUUUAAUUCAAAAGAAGUGCUCUGAUUUUUUUUUAAAUGAAAUUUUAUUAUAAAAUUCAUUCAAUAAUAAAAAUAUUAGUUUUAUAAAAAAAAGUUUAAAAUUGAAUACAAAAAAUUAUAAAUAAUUUAUAAUCUAAUUUCAUCUUUUUUUUAAUGUGAGGGUAAAUUUUGAAUAUCUUGAAGACUUUAAUUUUGCCAAUUACUAUAUAUAUAUAUAUUUCGUAACAAUUUAAGAAAUAAUAAAUAUCAUGUGUCUAAUUUGCAAGUUAGAAAAAAAAAAUUUUAUAAGGUGUUUAAUUUUUUUAAUAUAUAUGAAAAAAAAUGUACAACAUGCUUAUUAUUUUGUAAGUGAGAAACACAAAAAAAAAAAUCAAAAUAAUGUAGGUUUGAAAUAAUGAAUAAUAUUUAUUAUACAUUAAGUAAGUUUCUAAGGUUUUUUUUAAAAUUUUUUUAAGGUAUUUAAAAAAAUAUUUAUUAUAUAUUAUGUAUUUUUUGAAAAAAAAUAAUAAUAUUUGAUGAGUGUUUAAAAAAUAUUUACUUUUAAAAUGUAUUUGAUAAUAAUUUUUGCAAUCAUUUAUCUCUAAUAUUUAAUUUGUUAGAGAAAAAUGAUUAGAAAAUCAUUCAAUUUGGUCUUACUACUAAAUAAACAAGAGAAUGGAGAGAUAGAAAAAACGAGAAUAUGGUUUUUUUAUUUAAGGAAAAAGGGUAUUUUAGGGGAUUUUUUUAAUUGAACCAAAGGGAAUUAUGUAAAUAUGAUCAAUUUACAAAAUAUAGAUGAAAGGAGAAGUUAAAAAAAAUAAUUAUCAUUUUAUGCUUGGGAAUGGUGCCCACUUAGCAUUAUUCCAAACUAUCCGUACAUAUGUUUUGGUCUUAAAAUAACACUAUUUUAAUUUUAAAGUAAUAUUACUUUGCUAUGAAAGUAACACUCUUUUAAACUUAAGGUACCUUUGCUAAUUGAAUGAUGUACCAUCACAUAUAAGGGCAUUUUAGGAUAAUAUAAGGUAAGACAUUAAAAUGCACUCUUGGGGUUUUCUUUUCAUCCGGAUUUUGUAAACAAGUCAUGUUUACAUAGUUCCCCAUAGAAAUAUUAUUCACCUUUCUAUUUUAUCAUUAAGUUUUGAAUUCGAAUUUGUGUGAUGGGAGGACAUUGGGCAAUUAUGUGGCCCAAGCACAAUUCUCCAUGUCAAAGUCAAUAAAGGUGGGAACAACCGAUUAGCAGGAAAAAUAUAACGAAGAAGGUCGCUGCACGGAGAGAAGUAAGAAGAAGAGACUAGACAACUGAGAAUUGCAAUGAAGAAAGCAGAGCUGGUGUUUGUCCCAGUAGCAUUCCGCGGUCACCUUGUAUCAACUGUAGAAUUCGCAAAACGCUUAAUCCAAAGGGAUGAUCGCUUUUCAGUCACCAUCCUCUCCAUCAACUCCCCAUUCGGCCCCGACGCGCAUGGAUACAACAAAUCACACCUUGCUUUUGAACCCGGUCUCCGUUUGAUCGAUCUCCCUCCACAGGAUCCCCCUCCACCUCACCUUAAAAAAUCCAUUGCACAAUUCCUGUCAGUUUACAUUGAGAGUUACAUUCCUCAUGUGAAAGACGCCAUCAUCAACCUCAAAUCAACUCGGCCUCUCGCUGGGGUAGUCCUUGAUUUUGUAUGCAUCUCAAUGAUUGAUGUGGCCAAUGAACUGGGUCUUCCCUCAUAUCUGUUUCUAACCUCUGGUGCUGCUCUUGUUAGCCUCAUGCUCUACCUUCCCACCCGCCAUACACAAAUCAGCGCUGCCUUUGAGGACGCGGAUCCUGAGUUGGUGAUUCCAGGUUUCAUAAACCCAGUUCCGGUUAGCGUUUUGCCUGAAGCACUGAGGGACAAGCAUGGUGGUUAUGCCUCUUUUAUAAAGGUUGCUCAGAGGUUUAGAGAGGCUAAGGGCAUUAUAAUCAAUACAUUUACUGAGUUGGAGCCUUUCUUAGUGGGUUCCUUCUCCGACGGCCAAGCUCCUCCAGUGUACACGGUCGGACCAGUGCUUGAUCUCGAGGGUCAGGCCCAUUCUAGUGCAGACCGGGCUGACCAUGAUAAGGUCAUGGCCUGGCUUGACACUCAGCCGGAAUCCUCUGUGAUGUUCCUAUGCUUUGGGAGUCUGGGCACCUUCGAUGUACCCCAGGUGAGAGAGAUCGCGCUUGGACUUGAGCGCAGCGGCCACAGGUUCCUGUGGUCUUUACGUCGGCCACCGCCAGAUGGGAAGUUCGGUAGCCCAAGUGAAGGCACGAAUCUGGAUGAGAUGUUGCCAGAAGGGUUCAUGGAGCGGAUCGGAGGAAAAGGAAUGAUCUGCGGUUGGGCACCGCAAGUGAAAGUUCUGGCCCACGAAGCCAUUGCUGGGUUUGUAUCCCACUGCGGGUGGAACUCAAUCUUAGAAAGUGUGUGGAACAGUGUGCCAAUAGUCACAUGGCCACUUUACGCAGAACAAAAGUUGAAUGCAUUUGAGAUGGUGAAAGAACUAGGAUUGGCAGUGGAGAUGAGAUUAGACUCCAGGUACGACGGAGAUGUUGUGAUGGCGGAGGAGAUAGAUGGAGCCGUAAGACGUGUGAUGAAGGCUGAUAGCACAGUGAGAAAGAUGGUGAAAGAGAUGGGAGAGAAGAGUAGGAGGGCUCUGACGGAGGGUGGAUCUUCAUACAAUUCGUUUGAACGGUUGAUCCAUGCGAUGAUAAAUACCCGGUAACUAGUACUUGCUUAUUGUCUUUCUAUUAUCAAUUCCAGAUGUUUGGAAGUGACUAAGGGUCCUCCAUAAAAUUAUUCUCAAAAAAUUAUUUUUGAGAACAGUUUUUAAUUGUAUUUUAUUUUUUAGAAUAAAGACCUGACAACAGUUUUUAAUUGUGUUUUAUUUUUUAGAAUAAAGACCUAUUUGGAAUUUGGAAUGCUUUCUAACUUAUAUUUUGUAUUUUUAAAAAUUAAUUUUAUAUCUAAGUGUUUUAUUUUCAAUUAUUUUUUUAUAUUUAAUCUAUUGUUUUUAAAAUAGUCAAAUUCUAAAUUUAAAACAAACCAACACUUAACUCAACUCUUAUGUAUAACUAGAUAUAAAACACAUUAUACUAAGAACCCAUUUGAUAGUGAUUUUAGAAAAUAUUUUUAUAUUUUUUAACUGUUAAAAUGGUUAGAAAUAUUUUUAAAAAUCACCAUCAAAGUGUAUUUUAAGAGUACGUCUGACAGUAAUUAUAAGAAAUAUUUAUAACAUUUUUAACACUUAGAAAAUGCAAAUUUUCAUAUAAAUAUUUUAAACGCUUUUUAGAAUCUCUAUCAAACGCACUCUAAAUCUAACAAAAAUAAUCAUUUGAAAAAAAACCGUUCAAAUAUUUCUUCAUGUUGCAUACAUGUUUUACACAAUUUAGGUAAUGAGUCAUUUCACUUUAAUUAACUAUCAAUAAGAUAAGGCACUUGGUUAAAUUAUUGGAAAAUACUAUAAUUUUGUGGUGUUUAAUGAAUAAAAUAUUUGAACCAUUGAAUAUAUAUAUGAUAAAAUCUAAACUAUUGAAUAAGGAUAUAACUUUAUUAAGACCAAAAUAUUAAGAUACAAAUAAAUCAAAUAAGGAUGUAAAAAAUAUAACCUAAAAAUAUAUACUUCACACCAUAUGAUUGAUUUUGUUAGGUACAAAAAAAAAAGUCCUUUAAUAUAUUAGCCAAACCCUCAAUUAUAACCAUAAUUAAUUUAAAUAACAAAAACAUGUCCCUUCCACAUGCUAUUUAUUUUUAUUUUUAAUGAAAAGAAACUAUAGAAUAUCUACCUAAGGGAUUGAAAGACGAAUCAUGAACCGUAAUGUUACAAGAAACCAAUGGAGCUCAAUUUGGUGGAGUCUUGCUGGUAGGGAGAGGAUCCGCACCCUCCUCUCAUGUUCGUUUCUAAUCCACUUCCCCGUUCUUGCUGCCUAUGCAAUGAAGUCCAGAGAGUGUCACAUCAUUCUUUAGAUAUUUUAGGUUGCGGGUCCUCUUCCAUACACUUCUGGGACCGUGAUAUUGAUACCUAGAAUUUAAGGGCUUUGACAAUUUGCCUUCUAAAUAAAAUAUCUCUGAAGUCUGAUAUAGGAAUUUCUUUCCUCUUUGUGACAAGGGAUUGUGCUAUCUUGAAUGUGUGGAAGUACGAUCAUGUGAUUUAGCAGAAAUUAUGGAGGUUAAAUAUUCUUGCACCUGGGGGUAGGAAGCAGAAAGAUUAAAGAGCAGACAACGGAGAUAAAGAAAAUAGAGCUGGUGUUCGUCCCAACUCCCGCCGCUGGCCACUACAUAUCCGCCGUGGAAUUCGCAAAGUGCUUAAUCCACACGGACGAUCGCUUUUUCUGUUACCAUCCUCCAAAUGAGUUGAUCACUCAAUCCUUAUCCGGAUAUAUACAACAAAUCUCUUCUUGCCCCUGAAACCCGUCUCCAUUUCAUUGACCUCCCUCCUAUCGAUCACCCUCCAUCCCAUCACCCCAUGAUAUCUUCCUCAAAUCCAUUGAACACUACACAUUGUUUUCAAUUGAAAGCUACAUCCCUCACGUCAAAUACGCCAUCACUCACCUCAUGUCAUCUCGCUCUUCCCCACACUCAGUCCCACUCGCCGGGUUAGUCCUUGAUUUCUUCUGUCUGCCCAUGAUUGAUGUGGCCAACCAACUAGGCCUCCCUUCUUACCUAUACUUCACCUCUGGUGCUGGUUUUCUUGGCCUCAUGCUCCCCCCCUCAACUCGCCAUAGCCAAAUCGACACUGAGUUUGAAGACUCGGAUCCUGAUCUGGAGCUCCCGAGUUUCGUC
RNAcentral lists this long non-coding RNA (14209 nucleotides) under Vitis vinifera (wine grape). RNAcentral describes it as "long non-coding RNA (VVIN_LNC001756)". Lineage: Eukaryota; Viridiplantae; Streptophyta; Magnoliopsida; Vitales; Vitaceae. The record is from RNAcentral.